UUCUGCUCCUGAGCACCUCACUUGUGUUUUAUUAGUUUCUUUUGUCUCCCAUAGGAUAUAAAUCUUAAACCAGUUAUGUAAUUUAUUGGCUUGGAAACUCAAUUAAUACUUCAAUAUGAAGCCUUUACAGUAUACACUACUAAUGCUUUCGCAUGGGCUUGAAUUUCUUGGGGAUAAUUGCUAUAUUUUUUAUUGUUGACCUACUCGAUUUUCGUAUAAACCCGCACUUCUUUUGUCUCCCUCCUGUUGUUUAUUGUUGUUGCACCACCUAUCCACUAAAAGUCUUUUUUAAGAUAAACAACCUUCUAUCCAAUAUCAAUAUGCUUGGGUGCUCCUUGUCUAUAAACCGUUUUAUCAAUAGAUGUGAAAAACUUAUUGGGAUCAUGUUUUAGAAGAGAUGGUUUGGUUGUCAAAGGUAAUUAACAAGUUCCUCAAAGAUUUUAUCUUAUAUGAUGUAGGAAACCUUUUGGCUAUACUCAUUUACUUCAUAUGAUAAAGCUCUGCUUGUUUCACUGCUUCCUUGCUCAUUCAAUUGGUUGUUAGCAAGACUUUGAGUUAGAGUGAAAAUGGAAAUUGGCUCAAGCAAUGAGGGUUGCUUUAAGAGCAAGCAGGGGCACCAUAGACCAGGCUACUAGGGGAGAAAAGAAAAUGAAGGAAGAGGAGCAGCGGUUAAGAAAAGUUGCACCUAAUAUCUCAAAGGACGUGAAGAAAUUCUGGAUGAAAAUAGAAAAACAGUCCACUUUGUUCAAAUAGUUAUCUAAUUUCUUCAAAUAACUCAAGGCACUUGAUAAGCAACUUGAGUUUCUUUUGGGCCAAACCGAGAGGUACUCAACAAUGUUAACAGAAAGUCUCGUUGAUACUCAUAAAUCAAUGCAACAAUGUAGUACUACACAAGAUCAACUGAGUAUUAAAUACAAAGAUGCUAAUGUGGGACUAUGUGAGUGAGAUUAACAUGCAGCCUUCUUGUGAAUAUUUAGAGAGAACUAUCGGGCAAUUUCUUGUCCUAUAUUGUGUGAUAUUAGUUGUGGAGUUGUUUACCUUUUAGACUUUACAAUUUUUUUGUGCAUCUAAGUUGUGAGUCUUUUUUGUGCAUCUGUGUUGUGGGUGUGUUUUGUGCAUGAGUUGUGG
Long non-coding RNA from Juglans regia (Persian walnut), 1128 nucleotides. RefSeq lists it as uncharacterized. The transcript has 4 exons. NCBI's taxonomy places the organism in Eukaryota, Viridiplantae, Streptophyta, Magnoliopsida, Fagales, Juglandaceae. The record is from RefSeq and is a predicted model, not a curated record.